This is a long non-coding RNA of Esox lucius (northern pike), 3475 nucleotides long. The record is from Ensembl. Lineage: Eukaryota; Metazoa; Chordata; Actinopteri; Esociformes; Esocidae.
CUGUGAGAGCCGGAAUUCUUACUGGUUGGUAGGUGAUCAAAUACUUAUAUCAUGCAAUAAAAUGCUAAUUAAUUAUAAAAAAAAUCAUACAAUGUGUUUUAGAUUCCGUCUCUCACAGUUGAAGAGUACCUAUGAUAAAAAUUACAGACCUCUACAUGCUUUGUAAGUAGCAAAACCUGCAAAAUCGGCAGUGUAUCAAAUACUUGUUCUCCCCACUGUAUAUAUUUAUAUACUGUGUAUACUGUAUGUAUUCUCUAUCAAACUAGAAAUGGUCAGACCUUUUAUAUUAACUACUGUUAAUACCGCAACUACUAUAAGAAUGUCAAAUAAAGGACAUUUAUUUAGAUUUAAUUUGUAUAGAACAAUGAACAUCCUGAUUUGCAGUAUGCUACAUGACAUGUAUUUAACAAACGUGUAAAAAAUUAUAAUGGUAUCCUUUUGUAUCUACAAUACAAUCAUAAAAGGAAUAAAGACAAAUAAUAAAACUUUAUUGUGGAGCACUUUUUAAACACUGAAUAAUAUAUUCACAGGCCUUAAACUAAUUAUUUUCUGUCAUUGGCUCUUUCUGUCCCUGACAGAACAGCCAGAUCACAGACAACAAAUAAAGACCUAAACAGGCCAGAAAGUCAUAAUGGUAAGCAACUAAAAAGAACACCACCAACAAGAUAGUGUAUACCAGUCCUCUUGAGAUAUUAUGCCAAGAACAUUUCUCUUUCAACCACAUAACAUUGGCCCUGGUUGGAUCCUGCUCUCCUGCCAUUAGGGGCAAUGUUCUUGUUGGCAGACACUCAACUUUCUCUUUGUCUGGCAGAUAAUCCUGGUUACUCAGGAGGUCCUCAUCACCAGACUCACUGAUGGAUGGCAUGGACGGCCUGCUGCCCCUUCUACCUAUCGAGGGCCGCUUCCCAAUACCCAAGGCUAUGUCCUUACUUUCUUGUCUCUGUGCCGCCCUCAGACUGCACAUGUACAGCUCCAUCUCUUCAUCUGACAAGGAAUCUGUGGACGUGUUGUCUUCUUCACCCUCACCCUCUUUGUCAAUGGCACACUGAUCUGUUUGAAUGCCAGACUCCAUGUCUCCAUUAUUGGAAUCCAUUUCUGUAUCUCCAUGAUGAGUUACGUCAGUGAUAAUGUAAUUAUGGCAUGGAUUAAACACGUCACUGGCCUUUAAUGUAUAUUUUUCUGUGUCAGAUUUUUUGAUUUCUAAGACAUUUACUUUUGUGCUCAGACCACCUUCAUCUUCAUGCUCAAUGUCCAUUUGCAUGCAUAACUUGUCUAACAGUUCAUUUUGAUAAUCUACUACAAUUUCCUGUACCUCUACAUUAGUCUCAGCUUUUUUGCUUUCUUCCACCACCACCUCCUCCCUUAAUCGCCAUGUAACAUCCUCCUCAAGCUCCUCCCUCUGUUGUUCUUUCACCUUCUCCUCCGCCAUCUCUUUCUCCUGAAACUCCCCGACCAUCAUCUCCUCCUCCUCUUGCACAUUUUCCCUCCAGUCUUUUUCAAUGUUAUUUUUCUUUAGCAUUUGCUGUCCAUCUCUUGCCUCUAUCUCAUUCUCAGUAUAAAUUAAAUUAUCUUCAUUGUUCCUUAUUAGUUCAUCUUUAGGAAUAUUAUCUGUGGAGUUUGAGACCUUGUCAGCGUAUUUAUCGGGAUCAUCGUUUGUCAUCUCUCUAACUGCCUCGCUCUCUUCAUUGUCAAUACAAUAUCUCUUGGGUUCAUUAAAAACGGUGCUUGACACUUCAAAUGACAGUUCAUCUUCAACUUGAUCUGUUGGUUUUCUUAUCACAGAUUUCUCCAACAAUGUCCAUUUCUUUAUGACAUUGGGAUCCUCCUUCAAAGUUGUCUCAGUGGUGUCCUCCAGUUUGUCUGAACUGGGCACAGCAAUGUUUUGGUGGUUAGUUGUGAUCUUCUCAUCCGCCUCUGUCGCUGAAUUAAAUACUUUGAGAUCAGCAUCAGCAACUAAUUUAAUGCCUGUUGACCACUCAUCCGCAUUGGCUGAGUACAUCAUUUUGCCUGACUCCGCAGGUUUUUCAUAUCCUUCGCUAGCACUCGGCAAAGUCAUCUUAGCAGGGAUCAGCUUCAACCCCAUUUCAGUGUGUGACUUUGGAAGCUCGCCUUUUGUUGCGACUAUCAGAGUUUGUAAAAUCUUGUUGUCCUGACAAAUUUGGUUUUGUGAAGACCACAUGUUCUCUUGUGACCCCUGGAGUUCUGAGUCCUCACUGGAGACGGUGAGAACAGCAGCAUUAGUGUUCAUGGGAAAGUGAGUCCUGGAAAGGCCUCUUGCCUGUUCUAACAGUGGUUCAGGCUCAGACUCUUCUUCACUUAAUCCAGAGGGGAGAUGUUCUAAGAAUAAUUCAGGUUGAUCCAUAGGCUUCUCUUUAGGUGUUUCCCAAGUACCAGCUGAAACACAGGAGUGAGUUUCCACUUCUUCUGCGGAUGGAUAACUCUGGGUUCUCUGAGCUGUUGGAUGCCCUACAUGCAAUCUCAUCCUAAUUUGAUUCACACCAUUGGUUACUGUCUGAUUAUCAUUCUCCACUCCACCAAAUGCCUGAUGGUAUAAUGGGGCCACAACAUUUUCAAAAGUAUAGCUGACAGUGUUAUGUGAAUGUGUUCCAUCUAUACUAAAGACAGGUCUACGCUUUUCCAUUUCCAAAUGCAUCUGAGCAGUUUCCUCUACUUGGAAAACAGACAUAUUAUCAGUUAGUCUAAGAGCAGUGACUUGAUCAGUUGAAUCUGACCGACAUCUGUGGAUUGGUGAGGCCUGCUUCACAUUCAACUCUGAUAGGGCUGAGCUUAUGGUUGAGUCAAUAUUCUCAGGCUUCCCUGACUCCUCCCCAGAAAGACUGUCCUGGACACCAGAACACGGUUUGUUGUACGUAGCUAGGGAAUCAGGAGUCACCUGCAGCCCAGCUCUUUUCCUGCGCUGUGGUGGCAAGGGUUGUUCCUGUGGUAUAUUUGGAGGUUGUUCCUGUGGUAUAUUUGGAGGUUGUUCCUGUGGUAUAUUUGGAGGUUGUUCCUGUGGUAUAUUUGGAGGUUGUUCCUGCGGUAUAUUUGGAGGUUGUUCCUGCUGUAUAUUUGGAGGUUGUUCCUGUGGUAUAUUUGGAGGUUGUUCCUGUGGUAUAUUUGGAGGUUGUUCCUGUGGUAUAUUUGGAGGUUGUUCCUGUGGUAUAUUUGGAGGAUGUUCCUGUGGUAUAUUUGUUCCUUUCUCUUUCUCUUGUGCCUCAUUACCUCUUUGGGUGAAGUAGUCCCGGACCUGCGUCAAUUUUGCUACUUUUCGUUGCUUUCUUCCACUGAAGUCGCUCUCAGCCUGUGAAACAGCAAGGAGAUACCAUUGUCAUUCAAUGCCUCCUCAGUUUUUAAGCUGAUUUGGGGGAGGAUGACAUUGAGAGAAGCAUGGUCAGGUUAAAUACUUCCCAUGACCACUUGAAAAUGUAUUUAUAUACAUUUAAUAUUGACACAUGGAAACCAAUCUGAUAUAAGC